RNAcentral lists this ribosomal RNA (466 nucleotides) under Salmonella enterica subsp. enterica serovar Infantis. RNAcentral describes it as "partial 23S ribosomal RNA". It matches the Rfam family "Bacterial large subunit ribosomal RNA", at positions 54 to 559 of the family's 2925-position model. RNAcentral also lists the same sequence under 3 other names. The record is from RNAcentral. Lineage: Bacteria; Pseudomonadati; Pseudomonadota; Gammaproteobacteria; Enterobacterales; Enterobacteriaceae.
GGGCGUGCUAAUCUGCGAUAAGCGCCGGUAAGGUGAUAUGAACCGUUAUAACCGGCGAUACCCGAAUGGGGAAACCCAGUGUGAUUCGUCACACUAUCAUUAACUGAAUCCAUAGGUUAAUGAGGCGAACCGGGGGAACUGAAACAUCUAAGUACCCCGAGGAAAAGAAAUCAACCGAGAUUCCCCCAGUAGCGGCGAGCGAACGGGGAGGAGCCCAGAGCCUGAAUCAGCAUGUGUGUUAGUGGAAGCGUCUGGAAAGGCGCGCGAUACAGGGUGACAGCCCCGUACACAAAAGCGCAUGUGCUGUGAGCUCGAUGAGUAGGGCGGGACACGUGGUAUCCUGUCUGAAUAUGGGGGGACCAUCCUCCAAGGCUAAAUACUCCUGACUGACCGAUAGUGAACCAGUACCGUGAGGGAAAGGCGAAAAGAACCCCGGCGAGGGGAGUGAAAAAGAACCUGAAACCGU